AACGAACGCUGGCGGCAUGCCUAACACAUGCAAGUCGAACGAGACCUUCGGGUCUAGUGGCGCACGGGUGCGUAACGCGUGGGAACCUGCCCUUAGGUUCGGAAUAACUCCCCGAAAGGGGUGCUAAUACCGGAUAAUGUCUUCGGACCAAAGAUUUAUCGCCUUUGGAUGGGCCCGCGUUGGAUUAGCUAGUUGGUAGGGUAAAAGCCUACCAAGGCGACGAUCCAUAGCUGGUCUGAGAGGAUGAUCAGCCACACUGGGACUGAGACACGGCCCAGACCUCUACGGGAGGGAGGCGUGGGGGAUAUUUGGCCAUGGGCGGAAGCCUGGUCCCGCCAUGGCGGGUGGGUGGUGAAGGCCUUAGGGUUGUAAAGCCCUUUUUCCCGGGAUGAUAAUGACAGUACCGGGAGAAUAAGCUCCGGCUAACUCCGUG
This 433-nucleotide ribosomal RNA is filed under the name uncultured bacterium. Its description in RNAcentral is "partial 16S ribosomal RNA". It matches the Rfam family "Bacterial small subunit ribosomal RNA", at positions 29 to 507 of the family's 1533-position model. The record is from RNAcentral.